This 60-nucleotide transfer RNA is filed under the name Camaena poyuensis. RNAcentral's name for it is "tRNA-Glu". The record is from RNAcentral. Lineage: Eukaryota; Metazoa; Mollusca; Gastropoda; Stylommatophora; Camaenidae.
GUUUAAAUAGUAUAUAUAAUACAUUACUUUUUCAUAGUAGGGAUGAUAGCUCUUUAAAUA